GCGGUGGAGUAUGUGUUUAAUUCGAUGCAACGCGAAGAACCUACCUGGUCUUGACAUCCCGGAGACCCUUAGGAACUAGGGGUGCUUCCAUCUGGAAGAAUCUGGAGACAGGUGCUGCAUGGCUGUCGUCAGCUCGUGUCGUGAGAUGUUGGGUUAAGUCCCGCAACGAGCGCAACCCUUGCCUUUAGUUGCCAGCAGUUCGGCUGGGCACUCUAAAGGGACUGCCGGUGUUAAACCGGAGGAAGGUGGGGAUGACGUCAAGUCCUCAUGGCCUUUAUGACCAGGGCUACACACGUACUACAAUGGCCGAUACAAAGGGCAGCGACACUGCGAGGUGAAGCCAAUCCCGUAAAAUCGGUCUCAGUCCGGAUUGGAGUCUGCAACUCGACUCCAUGAAGUUGGAAUCGCUAGUAAUCGUGGAUCAGCAUGCCACGGUGAAUACGUUCCCGGGCCUU
Molecule: ribosomal RNA, 455 nt
Filed under: uncultured Desulfobulbus sp.
Lineage: Bacteria; Pseudomonadati; Thermodesulfobacteriota; Desulfobulbia; Desulfobulbales; Desulfobulbaceae
Description: bacterial SSU rRNA
Rfam family: Bacterial small subunit ribosomal RNA
Source: RNAcentral